Molecule: unclassified non-coding RNA, 314 nt
Filed under: Hevea brasiliensis (rubber tree)
Lineage: Eukaryota; Viridiplantae; Streptophyta; Magnoliopsida; Malpighiales; Euphorbiaceae
Source: RNAcentral
AUUGAAAACGACAAAGGAAAAUUUAAAAAAGCAAUCUUUUUGAAUACCAAGAUCAUUAUUUAAGGAGAUGUUCACAUUUUCACCAUAUUUUACCUGUACAUGGUGUUAUGUAACUUUUCUUUUGAUUUGGUUUCAAUUUUUAUCAGCGUUGUUGCAAUUCAUAUUAAUUUGUAGUUCUCUGAUGUGAGAGAUUGAAAUGUUUGUAUAGAGUAAUGGUCCAUAUUCACUGGUUUGUGCCACUAAAAAUUUGUUUGUUUCUUUUGGACCUCACCCUUUCUGCUCAUUUUACUGAUUAACUCUUGUGUUCCUCUCAG